AAUGUCACAGCCAACUGCCUUACAUUGAGGAAACUAAAUGAAGGGAAAAAAAGAUGUAGAGAGAUCAUACAGCUCCAAGUGGACACAGGGAGGAAAAUGUGGCACACUAUCCAAACCCUGGCCUGGGAGUAGCUCAUGGAUCCAUAAAGUUUGGCUCAAUUGUUGGGAGCAUCACCAAAAAGUAGUAGGAGGAGGAGAUACCAUUCCUGCUCUGCCAAUGCAAAAAACAAGUAGAGGG
This is a long non-coding RNA of Mauremys mutica (yellowpond turtle), 238 nucleotides long. RefSeq lists it as uncharacterized. The transcript has 3 exons. The record is from RefSeq and is a predicted model, not a curated record. Lineage: Eukaryota; Metazoa; Chordata; Testudines; Geoemydidae.